Molecule: non-coding RNA, 21 nt
Filed under: Caenorhabditis elegans
Lineage: Eukaryota; Metazoa; Nematoda; Chromadorea; Rhabditida; Rhabditidae
Source: RNAcentral
UAAUAAAAAAUUUUUCGUUUC